This 508-nucleotide ribosomal RNA is filed under the name uncultured bacterium. Its description in RNAcentral is "bacterial SSU rRNA". It matches the Rfam family "Bacterial small subunit ribosomal RNA", at positions 791 to 1304 of the family's 1533-position model. The record is from RNAcentral.
UAGUCCACGCCGUAAACGAUGCUUACUCGCUGUUGGCGAUAUUACUGUCAGCGGCCAAGCGAAAGCGUUAAGUAAGCCACCUGGGGAGUACGCCCGCAAGGGUGAAACUCAAAGGAAUUGACGGGGGCCCGCACAAGCGGAGGAGCAUGUGGUUUAAUUCGAUGAUACGCGAGGAACCUUACCAGGGCUUAAAUGUAGAUUGACAGGACUAGAGAUAGUUUUUCCUUCGGGCAAUUUACAAGGUGCUGCAUGGUUGUCGUCAGCUCGUGCCGUGAGGUGUCAGGUUAAGUCCUAUAACGAGCGCAACCCCUGCCGUUAGUUGCCAGCAUGUUAUGAUGGGGACUCUAACGGGACUGCCGGUGCAAACCGUGAGGAAGGUGGGGAUGACGUCAAAUCAUCACGGCCCUUACGUCCUGGGCCACACACGUGCUACAAUGGCCGGUACAGAGAGCAGCCAUGCUGUAAAGCAGAGCGAAUCUACAAAGCCGGUCACAGUUCGGAUUGGGGU